This 331-nucleotide ribosomal RNA is filed under the name uncultured Actinomycetes bacterium. RNAcentral describes it as "bacterial SSU rRNA". It matches the Rfam family "Bacterial small subunit ribosomal RNA", at positions 28 to 351 of the family's 1533-position model. Lineage: Bacteria; Bacillati; Actinomycetota; Actinomycetes. The record is from RNAcentral.
GACGAACGCUGGCGGCGUGCUUAACACAUGCAAGUCGAACGAGGUCCAUGCAGUCGCAAGACUGCGGAAGACCUAGUGGCGAACGGGUGCGUAACACGUGAGAAACCUGUCCCGGUCUCUGGAAUAACAAGUGGAAACACUUGCUAAUACCGGAUGCCGUCGGACCACCGCAUGGUGGACUGACGAAAGGGCUACCGGAUCGGGAGGGUCUCGCGGCCUAUCAGCUUGUUGGUGAGGUAACGGCUCACCAAGGCAUCGACGGGUAGCUGGUCUGAGAGGAUGAUCAGCCACACUGGGACUGAGACACGGCCCAGACUCCUACGGGUGGCAG